Long non-coding RNA from Cyprinus carpio carpio, 511 nucleotides. The record is from Ensembl. NCBI's taxonomy places the organism in Eukaryota, Metazoa, Chordata, Actinopteri, Cypriniformes, Cyprinidae.
UGAACUUAAUGUGGCAGGAUAAGUCUUUUAUUGGCUGGUUGAUGUACAGUUGGUUCACCAAUCAAAUGAUAGCGACAGCACUAGCAUCUCAUUGGUUGGUGGGGUUAAAGUUCAUAUACCAAUGAAACGAUAGUAUCUAUACUAUUUAAGGACCUUUAUUAUGGCAGGUGGGUAUGUUUGUGACCUGGGGUGCUUCUCUCUCUCCCUGGCAUUUCCGUUUCCGUUUUGAUUCCUUCCUCAGGUAUGUUUGGCUGUUUGUUGGCGGUGUAACAAUGUGCAUGUUGCGAGUCUAAUAUGCGCUAUUUAUAGUUUCAUUUAGAGCGCGUCUGGUGGCGUUGGCAGUGCGGCAACUCGCGGCGUAUUUCGGCUGCAGGGCUGACACAGAUGCAUGGACCAUUUAAACCGUGGAUGCUGUGCAAACAAGUCCUUUCAAUGUGUACUGUGGGGUUCACAAACGGUCAAACCAACAGCUCAGUGGAGGACAGUGCGUCAGCUCAAAGGGUCCCCUCUG